UACGUAGGGUGCGAGCGUUAAUCGGAAUUACUGGGCGUAAAGCGUGCGCAGGCGGCUCUUUAAGUCAGAUGUGAAAGCCCCGGGCUUAACCUGGGAACUGCGUUUGAAACUGGAGGGCUUGAGUGUGGCAGAGGGAGGUGGAAUUCCACGUGUAGCAGUGAAAUGCGUAGAGAUGUGGAGGAACACCAAUGGCGAAGGCAGCCUCCUGGGCCAACACUGACGCUCAUGCACGAAAGCGUGGGGAGCAAACAGG
This 253-nucleotide ribosomal RNA is filed under the name uncultured bacterium. RNAcentral describes it as "partial 16S ribosomal RNA". It matches the Rfam family "Bacterial small subunit ribosomal RNA", at positions 524 to 776 of the family's 1533-position model. The record is from RNAcentral.